Molecule: non-coding RNA, 1809 nt
Organism: Monodelphis domestica (gray short-tailed opossum)
Lineage: Eukaryota; Metazoa; Chordata; Mammalia; Didelphimorphia; Didelphidae
Source: RefSeq, a predicted model, not a curated record
UCUUCCCAGAGGAUCAAACGGGGGGGAGGGGGGGGAUGUAAUCCAGGAUGGAAUCCAGGACUUCAAUCCCCACAAGCCUUUGCCCCACUUCCCCAGAAUGCCUUGUAAUCUCACCUGGGCCGAGAUCGAAAAGGGAUUUAACCUGAUUGCAAAGGCUUUUGAGCUCUUUUGGACUUCCGUUUUGGGGCAGAUGUGGCUCUUUCCAUAAUGUAGCGAGACCGGCAGCACCCCCAAUGCCGGCACCUGUCCAAACCCCAGGAUCUUCUGUCGGGCCUAGACAAAGGACACCCAUCCCUAACCGGCAGGCUGAGAACUUCCAAGGCUCCCACCCCCGACAGCUGUAAAAAGGAAUUCUUUAACUUCUUUCAUUGAACAGGGACCUGCAGGGCCUCUUACCCUAGACAUGUGGAGGGAUUAGGCAGCCCACAGAGACAGGAAGCAGGCACGGGGAGCCCCUGCCCAGCCAGCGGGAGGUGCAGGUCAGCAGUUAAGCUGGCAGUUGGGGGUCAGUUGUGGGCAGUUCAGGUUGGCAGUUGGGGGCAGGUGGCUGCUGGGAGGGAGCUGGGUGUUGGGGCUUGGUUGCUGGCAGUGGGGGUCGGCGUUUCUCUGAAGGUGGGCCCGAGCUUACCCAGAGGGCUUUGGGCUUUGGCCUUAGAGGGCUUUGGCCUCUGGGAUGUCCAGGGAGCAGCAGUCUGUCUCUGAGGCCAGGAGCGGCUCACAGUUGGGCUGCCACAGAAUUGGGCCUGAAGGAAGGAGGGAGGGAGUGCUGGCUGUCCAUGACUGCAGGCGUUUCUCCACAGAGCCCAGGGGAGGAGGCCUGGUGUGCCAGGCAGAAGGCCCUGGCCUGAGAAGACAGAGGAGGGUUGGCAGCAAUUGCAGGCCUUCAUUAGGAAUUGUGGGUAUGUUUGUAGGCCACCACGUGGGUGAUCUCUUUCCUCUUCUCUAGAUUUCCUCCUUUCCCAUCUCUUUUCCUUCAGCUGAAUUGUUCACUGUUAAAAGCUGCUCGAAGUCUUCUUUCCUCUGGCUCGAAGGGAUGCAGGAGAUGUCCAGCUCUGCUCUACUCUCAGGAAAGCUGAAAGGACUAGAAGCUGCUCUCGUAGUCUGUCAAAAGGCCCAUUUGAACCCUUACGGGGCCAUCCAAGCCACUGGACACAAGUACGCCAACGCCGACCGAGAAGAGGCAACAGUUACCUCCUCCCAGACGCCCCCAAAAGGGUGCCCCCUUCUCCGCCCAGGUAGAGAUCCCGAGCUAUCUACGGGGUACAGGCUCCCCCCUCGCCCCUGCCUGCAUCCCAGCUCCAGUCACCCUCCAGGUGUGCCUUUUCCCUCCCCCUCCCCACCCUUCCCCCCAGGAAGCCCUGCCGUACCUCCUCACUAGAGUCUCAUUAGUCUGGGCUCGGACCCCGUCAGCAAAUCUGAUAAGAGUGGGGUGAUGGGGGGGGGGGUGUCCAGGACCCACGUAUGAGUCUCUAGAGACGUCACCGUGAUCACAAUUUCCAGAAGGAGUGAGACCCCGGCAGGACCCUAACUGUGGAGCAGACAUCCAUUAGAAGAGUAGCACGUGGGCUGCAGGGUUGGAAGGGAUGGAGGCUGCACUUAGGAUAUUAAACCAAUUUGGGGGCAGCUGGGUAGCUCAGUGCAUGGAGAGCCAGGCCUAGAGAUGGAGGCCCUGGGUUCAAAUUUGACCUCAGACACUUCCCAGCUGGGUGACCCUGGAAGAGUCCUUACUGCUCUUCUGCCUUGGAAGCAAUACACAGUGUUGAUUGUAAGACACAAGGCGAGGAUUAAAAAUAAAUACAUAAAAGCCAA